RNAcentral lists this long non-coding RNA (1794 nucleotides) under Homo sapiens (human). RNAcentral describes it as "HSALNT0341381". Lineage: Eukaryota; Metazoa; Chordata; Mammalia; Primates; Hominidae. The record is from RNAcentral.
CCUGUAGGUGGCCAACGCCGGGCGCUGGGCCGCCGCUCCUGCCUUGCACGUUAGAGAGCCGGUACAUGCAGGUGGGAAGCUCCACACGGAGAGGCGCGCCGCGCCCGUGAUAAGGUUUUACCUGGUACAUCGGCAUGGCGGAACCAAAGCAAGAGAGGGUGGCGCGUGCCAAACACCAACGCUCAGAAACCGUCCGAGGCUACGACUGGGGGCGGACAUCUCCCUUGUGACCCUGCUGCGGUCGUUCGGGAAAAAAAAAAAAAGCAGUCCGGUGUGCUCUGAUUGGCCCAUGCUCUUUGACGUCACGGACUCGACCUUUGACGGAGCUAAUAGGCGAAAAGGAGAGACGGGAAGUAUUUUUUCCGCCCCGCCCAGAAAGGGUGGAGCACAACGUCAAAAGCAGCCAAUGGGAGCCCAGGAGGCGGGGCGCCUGUGGGAGUCGUGGAGGGAACUUUCCCAGGCCCCGAGGCGGAUCGGGUAUUGAGUCCAUGGAGCGAGCUGAGAGCUAGAGUACAGAACCUGCUAAGGCCAUCAAACCUAUCGAUCGGAAGUCAGUCCAUCAGAUUUGCUCUGGGCCGGUGGUACUGAGUCUAAGCACUGCGGUGAAGGAGUUAGUAGAAAACAGUCUGGAUGCUGGUGCCACCAAUAUUGAUCUAAAGCUUAAGGACUAUGGAGUGGAUCUCAUUGAAGUUUCAGACAAUGGAUGUGGGGUAGAAGAAGAAAACUUUGAAGGCUUAACGAUGUCACCAUUUCUACCUGCCACGCAUCGGCGAAGGUUGGGACUCGACUGGUGUUUGAUCACGAUGGGAAAAUCAUCCAGAAAACCCCCUACCCCCACCCCAGAGGGACCACAGUCAGCGUGAAGCAGUUAUUUUCUACACUACCUGUGCACCAUAAGGAAUUUCAAAGGAAUAUUAAGAAGACGUGCCUGUUUCCCCUUCGCCUUCUGCCGUGAUUGUCAGUUUCCUGAGGCCUCCCCAGCCAUGCUUCCUGUACAGCCUGCAGAACUGCCUGAGAAGACUCACCAGCAAGAGAGGGAAAGAGAGACUCGAUAACAUCUACCAAAUGUGGCCGGCAUUUUGUUGGACGUUUUCGGAGCAGGAGCACCGUCAUCUCGGACAAACCCCGCCACUUCAAGUUCCACCUCCCUUUAUAGCUUCACGCAUUCAAGGAAAUCACUUCCAACUACAAGCAGCCAGAAACAGCAGACAGUAAAACACAGAUAAGACUCCUGGGGCACAGAGGGAGGUAAGGGAAAAGUCUCUUGGGUAACUGCCAAACUUCACUCUCAUACACUGGGCCCCAGUAAAACAGUGGGCCUUAAUAAGCACAUUCCUUUCCGUUCAGGUGCACUAAGAUAGGGCAGCUAAAAGCAGACUCAGGGGUAUGCCUGCGGCUGCAGAAAGAGGUAUGAGAACAGACACACACCACCUCUCCCUCCCACAUAAGCACAACAAAGAGACACAGAAGCAGUACAGGCUUCUGAUAAACUCACCCGCCCUGAAUCCUUGAAAACUCUUAGUCUGUAACAGAGUGUGGCUUCUGACCUAACUCAGUCAGAAGUCCCUCCCAGGUUCAGAAUAAACCUGUUAACUGUUAAGCAGCCCUUCGUGUUUCUCUCCUCUUUCUUUAACUCUUUUUUUUUUUUUUUUUUUGCUCUGUAGCCCAGGCUGGAGUGCAGUGGCGUGAUCUUGGCUCACUGCAAGCUCCGCCUCCCAGGUUCUCGCCAUUCUCCUGCCUCAGCCUCCCGACUAGCUGGGACUACAGACAACUGCCACCAUGCCUGGCUUAUUA